Non-coding RNA from Phrynosoma platyrhinos (Desert horned lizard), 71 nucleotides. The record is from the annotation of a GenBank genome assembly. NCBI's taxonomy places the organism in Eukaryota, Metazoa, Chordata, Lepidosauria, Squamata, Phrynosomatidae.
UCCAGUGUGGUAUAGUGGUUUGAGCAUCGGACUACAACUCUGGAGACCAGGGUUUGAUUCCCAGAUUGGCC